UUUAUCCUACGGGGCGCAGCAGUGAGGAAUAUUGGUCAAUGGGCUUACGCCUGAACCAGCCAAGUAGCGUGCAGGAUGACGGCCCUCCGGGUUGUAAACUGCUUUUAGUUGGGAAUAAAAGGGGGCUCGUGAGCCCCGUAUUGUAUGUACCAUCAGAAAAAGGACCGGCUAAUUCCGUGCCAGCAGCCGCGGUAAUACGGAAGGUCCGGGCGUUAUCCGGAUUUAUUGGGUUUAAAGGGAGCGUAGGCCGGCUUUUAAGUCAGCUGUGAAAGUCCGCGGCUCAACCGUGGAAUUGCAGUUGAAAC
This 305-nucleotide ribosomal RNA is filed under the name uncultured bacterium. RNAcentral's name for it is "bacterial SSU rRNA". It matches the Rfam family "Bacterial small subunit ribosomal RNA", at positions 333 to 633 of the family's 1533-position model. The record is from RNAcentral.